AUAUACAUCUCACAACUCCUAGAAAUUCAGACAUCUCAAUGAUUUCUUCCUCUUCUUUAUAUUCAUCUACCAAAUUGGUCUCUGCUUCGUAGACUUCUUCUCCAUAAUUCUCUAGGGUCUCAGGAUCUUCUUCUUCUACUUCUCCUAUGUGUAAUGCUCUAGUGGGGCAUUGGCUUGCAUAAUGUCCCAUUUUACGACACCUAAAACAAGGAACAUUGUUUUCCCUUCUACCUUCAGGGGCCUUUCCUUUGUCGUCCCUACGAGCCUGUGGAGUGAUAGGAUUGGGUCUGUGUGAUGGGUUUG
Molecule: long non-coding RNA, 303 nt
Filed under: Phoenix dactylifera (date palm)
Lineage: Eukaryota; Viridiplantae; Streptophyta; Magnoliopsida; Arecales; Arecaceae
Description: long non-coding RNA (PDAC_LNC016732)
Source: RNAcentral